ACGCGAAGAACCUUACCUGGGCUUGACAUGUUAGUGGUAGGAAACUGAAAGGGGACCGACCUGUAGCAAUACAGGAGCUAAUACAGGUGCUGCAUGGCUGUCGUCAGCUCGUGCCGUGAGGUGUUGGGUUAAGUCCCGCAACGAGCGCAACCCUUAUCCUAUGUUACCUCGCAAGAGGGUCUCUUAGGAAACUGCCGGCGAUGAGCUGGAGGAAGGUGGGGACGACGUCAAGUCAUCAUGGCCCUUAUGUCCAGGGCUACACACGUGCUACAAUGGCUACUACAGAGGGAUGCAAGACCGCGAGGUGGAGCCAAUCCCUAAAAGUAGUCGUAGUUGGGAUCGGAGUCUGCAACUCGACUCCGUGAACCUGGAAUCGCUAGUAAUCGCGGAUCAGAACGCCGCGGUGAAUACGUUCCCGGGCCUUGUACACACCGCCCGUCACACCACGAAAGCCUGUUGUACCCGAAGCUGGUGAGCUAACCCGCAAGGGAUGCAGCCAUCUAAGGUAUGGCCGGUAAUUGGGGUGAAGUCGUAACAAGGUAGCCGUAGGGGAACCUGCGGCUGGAUCACCUCCUUU
This 577-nucleotide ribosomal RNA is filed under the name uncultured bacterium GR-WP54-3. RNAcentral's name for it is "bacterial SSU rRNA". It matches the Rfam family "Bacterial small subunit ribosomal RNA", at positions 959 to 1533 of the family's 1533-position model. The record is from RNAcentral.